This 414-nucleotide long non-coding RNA is filed under the name Cricetulus griseus (Chinese hamster). RNAcentral's name for it is "lncRNA (ENSCGRG00015038527.1)". Lineage: Eukaryota; Metazoa; Chordata; Mammalia; Rodentia; Cricetidae. The record is from RNAcentral.
GGAAUAUGGAGGAGAGCAAUAAGAAGCCUGAGGCUGUUCUUAUUUCCCCUGGAGCCUUUUAUGAAAGGCCUGGGGUUGUUUUAUGCUUCUGGGGAGUUGGAAGUAAAGGUUAAUUGGGGUUGGAGACAUGGCUCAGACGUACCAACAGCAGCCAGAAGAGGGCGACUGACCCCCCGACUCCAGCUACUGCGGGCGACCCCUACCCCACACUCCUGUGAAUGACCAUAGUGAAACUCAGUUUGUAGUCACUGGCUUCCUCCUGCCAUUUGAACAUUUGAUCAAAACCAGUCAAAUCCAUGUCUGGAUGGAGGGACGCCUUGUGAAGAUGAUGCUACUUAUCAAUAUUGGUAUUUACAGACAAGAAACGGCAGGAAUUGAAGCAUUGCAUCUGGGAUGAUGGACACACACCCUUCC